Molecule: long non-coding RNA, 1096 nt
Filed under: Zea mays
Lineage: Eukaryota; Viridiplantae; Streptophyta; Magnoliopsida; Poales; Poaceae
Description: uncharacterized LOC109940160 (LOC109940160)
Source: RNAcentral
AAUUCCCAGCCUUAUCCUGUGCAUGUGUUCAAAUCCCUGGAAACCUGUGCGUCUCCUCUGAUGCGCGUUCAGCUCCUCCUCUCAGCUCAUGCACGCCAACUUCCAGGCCUUUCACCACUGCCAAUCAAAUCUCUCGCUCGACGCUGGUCACACGCACCACGCACGCCCAGCCGAGCUCCUGCUUCCCUCUCCCGCGGUGCCUGGCUUCCUCCAAGCUCGCCCCCAACCACAACCACGCCCUGGUCCGCGCUCCAGCCCUCCCCAUCCUCCUCUUGCUAUGGUGCCCAGCCGAGCUCUCUCCCCUUCCUGCCAUGGCCGACGCCCCUCCCUGCUGUAGCUCGAUGCCCUCCCCUGCAGCAAGCAGUGCCCUCCCCUUUCUGCAGCAAGUGGGUGCCCCCAGCCCCUCCUUUGUUCCCAUGGCCGGCCACCUCUGCUGCUUCCAUGGUGAUCUCUAAAUCCCUUUGUUGUUUUACUAGUUCUUGUUAAUACCCUGCUGAUGUGAGGUUUUAUGUGUGUUGAUGUGUGCGAUAUGGAGUAAAAUCCUUGGAGAAUUAGGUGGAGAAGAAGGUUAAGUUCAACACUCAUUAGGUGUUCGAUGAUAUGCUCGAACUGGUGGCCGUCUUCGUUCUUGCUGAAAUCGAGUCGGAGCAUGAUGUGGUUCGUUACACGUGAUGCGAAGGACAAGAGCCGAGUUGAUCCCAAAAUGAUGCUAGUGAACGAACCUAAGGAUGGAUGAUCUGAUAGAGUGCCAGAAUGGGAGAUGCUCACCAAGUGGUCGUCAAUUAACAACACUAACUUAGUGUUAUCCCAGGUUAUAAUUUUGUUCUGUUAUGGAUGCUGCUAAGUGCCGGUAGGCUCGGCCUUCUUAUAUAAGUAUAUCCCAUCUUUAGCUUCUUUAUUGAGGAUUGUCACUUAAGCUAGCAUGUAUUUGAAAACCUAUAAAUAUUUUAUACAUUUUAAAUUGUAAUUUUUUUUGAAUCACUUUCUUUUGUAAUCACUCCGAUGAUAUAUAUUGUAAUCUUGUUAUAACUUGUAAAUGUUGUAACUUGUAACCAUUUUGUAAUAAAGAAUUUCCGCUGCAAAAAAAAAAAAAAAA